Molecule: long non-coding RNA, 873 nt
Organism: Lagenorhynchus albirostris (white-beaked dolphin)
Lineage: Eukaryota; Metazoa; Chordata; Mammalia; Artiodactyla; Delphinidae
Exons: 7
Source: RefSeq, a predicted model, not a curated record
GAACUGUGAAUCCAAAACAGAAGAAAGAAAGUGAGGAGGCCCCUGAGGAAGCCAUGUGGAUGAGUAGCCCUGUAACCUAAGAGUCUACCUCUGGACACAGCAUUGUGCAGUAACCUGUGUUCAUCUCAUUCAUCUCAUCUCAUCACAACAGGAACCAUAGCCGAUCCAGGAACACUCAGAACCUUCUUGUUGGGACCACCCCACCUCUCCAGACGCCCAGCUGUUCUUCACCUGAGGAAGAGGAGGCACCCUCAUCCCCCCCAGUAGUUUGGUCUCCACCAGAAACACCGAGAGGCUUUGCACGGAGACCAAGUUCAGCCUGAUUCCCCUGUGCUUGGCUUGCUGACCCUUUCAUCACAGCUGCUCAGGCCUUUGGAAAAUAAAUCUCAAAAAUUUUUAAUGAAAUUCAUCAAGAUACACUAAGAAAAUCUUGCUGCAAAGGCUGGCCACUUGAAAGAAGAUAGGAUAUUACAAACAUAACAUGGACGUGUCAUGAAGAUAUUUUACAAGGUACCUGAGGCACCACUUCUAAGCAAGUUUAUCAUGUUUAAGAUCGUGUGUAUUAUUUCAAGAAUGACAUAGCUUUUGCUUCCUGUUUCCUAAAAUGUUUCUGGAACCAGCCACGAGGAGACUCCUUGGUUGUGUCUAUAUGAUCGAUCCAAGUAGUGCCUUUGAGGAUGACCUCUUUUUGCCUAUCCCAGAUCUUUCUCAAUGUCCUCAGUUUCCCGUGAAAAUGAAUGAGCCCGUGACCUUAUUUUACUUGCAAGGAAAUCUCACUGAAACAAACAAGGACUGCUUAUCCAAGUUUUAGAACCAGUCUUCAAGGUGACUGUGUCUUAGUAACUUUAAAGUCACUUCAAGUUAAAAAAAGAA